Molecule: ribosomal RNA, 503 nt
Filed under: uncultured bacterium
Lineage: Bacteria
Description: partial 16S ribosomal RNA
Rfam family: Bacterial small subunit ribosomal RNA
Source: RNAcentral
AUUGAACGCUGGCGGCAGGCUUAACACAUGCAAGUCGAGCGGGGUGAUGGUGCUUGCACUAUCACUUAGCGGCGGACGGGUGAGUAAUGCUUAGGAAUCUGCCUAUUAGUGGGGGACAACAUCUCGAAAGGGAUGCUAAUACCGCAUACGUCCUACGGGAGAAAGCAGGGGAUCACUUGUGACCUUGCGCUAAUAGAUGAGCCUAAGUCGGAUUAGCUAGUUGGUGGGGUAAAGGCCUACCAAGGCGACGAUCUGUAGCGGGUCUGAGAGGAUGAUCCGCCACACGGGGACUGAGACACAGCCCAGACUCCUACGGGGGGCAGCAGUGGGGAAUAUUGGACAAUGGGGGGAACCCUGAUCCAGCCAUGCCGCGUGUGUGAAGAAUGCCUUAUGGUUGUAAAGCACUUUAAGCGAGGAGGAGGCUCUUUUGGUUAAUACCCAAAAUGAGUGGACGUUACUCGCAGAAUAAGCACCGGCUAACUCUGUGCCAGCCGCCGCAGUAA